GUGAGCCACUGCACCCCGGGUCAUUCCUCUUUUACUUCCUUGCUGUACCCCAACUAUCCUUCCCCCUCGGUGCCCUUAAAACCUUUGCAUUGGGACUUAACGGUAAUAGAAUGGCAUUCCUCACUGCCUCCGAACCACUCAAGCUGCUGCCCAUGCACUCUCUUCUGCAUGGCUCCUGGACUAAGCAGCCUCCCUUUGAUUAAGCAGAGACAAGAAUCUCACUCUGUCAUCUGUGGCAAGAUCAUCUUACUGAGGCCUCAAACUCCCGGGCUCCAGCGAUCCCCCUCGGGCCUCUCAGCCUCCUGCGUAGCUAGAACUACAGGAAUGUG
RNAcentral lists this long non-coding RNA (329 nucleotides) under Homo sapiens (human). RNAcentral describes it as "HSALNT0294791". Lineage: Eukaryota; Metazoa; Chordata; Mammalia; Primates; Hominidae. The record is from RNAcentral.